RNAcentral lists this ribosomal RNA (253 nucleotides) under uncultured bacterium. Its description in RNAcentral is "partial 16S ribosomal RNA". It matches the Rfam family "Bacterial small subunit ribosomal RNA", at positions 524 to 776 of the family's 1533-position model. The record is from RNAcentral.
UACAGAGGGUGCGAGCGUUAAUCGGAAUUACUGGGCGUAAAGCGUGCGCAGGCGGUUUUGUAAGCCAGAUGUGAAAGCCCCGGGCUUAACCUGGGAAUGGCAUUUGGGACUGCAAGGCUGGAGUACGGCAGAGGGAGGUGGAAUUCCAGGUGUAGCAGUGAAAUGCGUAGAUAUCUGGAGGAACACCGAUGGCGAAGGCAGCCUCCUGGGCUAGUACUGACGCUCAUGCACGAAAGCGUGGGGGGCAAACAGG